RNAcentral lists this ribosomal RNA (435 nucleotides) under uncultured bacterium. RNAcentral's name for it is "partial 16S ribosomal RNA". It matches the Rfam family "Bacterial small subunit ribosomal RNA", at positions 28 to 507 of the family's 1533-position model. The record is from RNAcentral.
GAUGAACGCUGGCGGUAUGCUUAACACAUGCAAGUCGAACGGACUCUUCGGAGUUAGUGGCGGACGGGUGAGUAACGCGUGAGAAUCUGGGUUUGGGUUCGGGACAACCACUGGAAACGGUGGCUAAUACCGGAUGUGCCGAGAGGUAAAAGAGAAAUUGCCUGAAGAUGAGCUCGCGUCUGAUUAGCUAGUUGGUGAGGUAAGGGCUCACCAAGGCAGCGAUCAGUAGCUGGUCUGAGGGGAUGACCAGCCACCCUGGGACUGAGACACGGCCCAGGCUCCUACGGGAGGCAGCAGUGGGGAAUUUUCCGCAAUGGGCGAAAGCCUGACGGUGCAAUACCGCGUGAUGGAAGAAGGCUCUUGCGUUGUAAACCUCUUUUCUUAGUUAAGAACAAAAUGACGGUACCUAAGGAAUCAGCAUCGGCUAACUCCGUG